RNAcentral lists this ribosomal RNA (484 nucleotides) under uncultured bacterium. Its description in RNAcentral is "partial 16S ribosomal RNA". It matches the Rfam family "Bacterial small subunit ribosomal RNA", at positions 30 to 507 of the family's 1533-position model. The record is from RNAcentral.
AUUGAACGCUGGCGGCAGGCCUAACACAUGCAAGUCGAGCGGAUGAAGGGAGCUUGCUCCUGGAUUCAGCGGCGGACGGGUGAGUAAUGCCUAGGGAUCUGCCUGGUAGUGGGGGAUAACGUCCGGAAACGGGCGCUAAUACCGCAUACGUCCUGAGGGAGAAAGUGGGGGAUCUUCGGACCUCACGCUAUCAGAUGAGCCUAGGUCGGAUUAGCUAGUGUGUGGGGUAAAGGCCUACCAAGGCGACGAUCCGUAACUGGUCUGAGAGGAUGAUCAGUCACACUGGAACUGAGACACGGUCCAGACUCCUACGGGAGGCAGCAGUGGGGAAUAUUGGACAAUGGGCGAAAGCCUGAUCCAGCCAUGCCGCGUGUGUGAAGAAGGUCUUCGGAUUGUAAAGCACUUUAAGUUGGGAGGAAGGGCAGUAAGUUAAUACCUUGCUGUUUUGACGUUACCAACAGAAUAAGCACCGGCUAACUUCGUG